RNAcentral lists this long non-coding RNA (1296 nucleotides) under Nicotiana tabacum (common tobacco). RNAcentral describes it as "long non-coding RNA (NTAB_LNC003529)". Lineage: Eukaryota; Viridiplantae; Streptophyta; Magnoliopsida; Solanales; Solanaceae. The record is from RNAcentral.
CCAAACUUAACUCCCAACCAAUGUGGGACUUUGGCAUUUUGCCAAACUUUAACAGAUUUCAACUAUAUAUAAAUAUGAGUUGAUGUUCAGCGAUUGCUUUCAUCCUUUUACAUAUAUAGCAAAAUUAAAAUGAAGUUGUUAGUAACUUGCAUUGCACUGUUUUUUAGUUUCACUCAGCAAGUAAUUUCUCAAUCGACCACCUAUGAUAAUAUGCAGAUCGUAUUACAAUGGGCACCCACAUUCUGUGGGAGGAAUAAGUACUGCAACAAUCCUGUUCCACAAAGUUUCACCUUGCAUGGGCUUUGGCCGGCAAACAGUAUUGGAUAUAGUCUACAAUGUGCUCCACCUCCACAAGAUACUAGCGUGGUCAGUAUAUAUGUUCUUGAAAAUACUUAUUAGCAUGUAUAGUUGCCGUUUUUUGAUGAUUAGUACUAGUACAUAUAUAUUUUUUAACAUAUAUAGAAUUCAAAAUUCUUCAUAUAUGCAUGUACUUACAGUGGACAACGGACAGACCGUUGCGGACAGCUCUUCAAAAUUGUUGGUAUAGUCUGAUCCGGGGUCGUCCCGAUUACAUACUGUGGAAACAUGAAUGGAAGUAUCAUGGCUAUUGCUCUAGCCAUACAAUAAAAGAUACUGACUACUUCUGGGCUGCAGUACGCAAGUAUGGAGAAAACACCAAGAUUGUGGGCAAGGCGAUUGUUGACAAACUGAGUGGUGAAGGAAUCAAUCCGUCAAAUGAUAAGGAUUACAAAAAGAGUGCAAUAACGAGUGCCUUGUCUGAAAUUCUGGGCUUUAAUUGUUGCGGAAGCCAAAUGUAUAUAGUGUGAAUAAGUCACAACUACUAUACCAAAAAUUAUGACAGCCACCAAAUAAUAAUAAGACAAUAAAGAAACAAUAAAGGGAACACCAGAAUUUACGAGGUUUGGCUAAUUUUGCCUACUCCUCGGACACAACCAAUAUUUUAUUCCACUUCAAAAUACAAGUGAAAUAAUACUAAAGAGAGAAGAUACAAAUGCCUUAAACAGAUGAGAAGGCAAAUGAGAGGUGUAUUUCAAUCCUAAACAUUAGGCCUUCUUUUAUAGGGGAAAAAUCCCCCCCAAACUUAACUCCCAACCAAGGUGGGACUUUGGCAUUUUGCCAAACUUCAACAAAUCUCCACCUUGGCAAAAUUCCACAUUUUCAAUUCUCUCUCAAUAACAAAAUUUUGGUUGUGUCAUCAUCUUCAAUCUUCAGUGUUCAACAAUGUUGAUCAAAUCAAAACAAUGUUGAAACUUGAUCGCAGUCACCACCUUAGUU